GAGUUUGAUCAUGGCUCAGGAUGAACGCUAGCGGCAGGCCUAACACAUGCAAGUCGAGGGGUAACAUGAUUUGCUUGCAAAUUGAUGACGACCGGCGCACGGGUGCGUAACGCGUAUAGAACCUACCUUUUACUGGGGGAUAACCAGGAGAAAUCCUGACUAAUACCCCAUGGUAUGUAUUUGUUGCAUAACAGUUACAUUAAAGAUUUAUCGGUAAAAGAUGGCUAUGCGUCCUAUUAGCUGGAUGGUGCGGUAACGGCGCACCAUGGCGACGAUAGGUAGGGGCCCUGAGAGGGGGAUCCCCCACACUGGUACUGAGACACGGACCAGACUCCUACGGGAGGCAGCAGUGAGGAAUAUUGGACAAUGGGGGCAACCCUGAUCCAGCCAUGCCGCGUGCAGGAAGACUGCCCUAUGGGCUGUAAACUGCUUUUAUACGGGAAGAAACACCGCUACGUGUAGCGGCUUGACGGUACCGUAAGAAUAAGGAUCGGCUAACUCCGUGCCAGCAGCCGCGGUAA
RNAcentral lists this ribosomal RNA (521 nucleotides) under uncultured Bacteroidota bacterium. RNAcentral's name for it is "bacterial SSU rRNA". It matches the Rfam family "Bacterial small subunit ribosomal RNA", at positions 9 to 523 of the family's 1533-position model. Lineage: Bacteria; Pseudomonadati; Bacteroidota. The record is from RNAcentral.